RNAcentral lists this ribosomal RNA (43 nucleotides) under Koenigia fertilis. Its description in RNAcentral is "partial 18S ribosomal RNA". The record is from RNAcentral. Lineage: Eukaryota; Viridiplantae; Streptophyta; Magnoliopsida; Caryophyllales; Polygonaceae.
UCGUAACCAAGGUUCCGUAGGUGAAGCUGCGGAAGGAGUCAUU